Molecule: long non-coding RNA, 645 nt
Organism: Panicum virgatum (switchgrass)
Lineage: Eukaryota; Viridiplantae; Streptophyta; Magnoliopsida; Poales; Poaceae
Exons: 4
Source: RefSeq, a predicted model, not a curated record
GUGAAAGUUAUAUGAGAACCGAAGGUCAGCACUUAGGGAAACUAUCAGGGACUCGGAUUCAAGGCCAUACUAAUUUCAAGAUUGCAGAAGGUGAUAUCAGCGAUGAUGAGGGUCAGUUAGAAUAAAAGCUAACAGGUCUUUUUCUUCCAGCCGUUGUCAGGCCCAUCUUGGAUUCUUUUGAGACUGCCAAACAAGUUCCUCAACCAGCUCUAAGUGAUGCUUCACAGGGCAGCAGAUAGAGCUUGGUCCAGGCUGCACAGGCACUCAAGUCCUGAAGCUGAAGAUACUAGUGUUACCUUAUCAGCUAAUUGUUUGCUUCACCGUGGCCUCAGUGACAUGUGGCGCUGGUUCAGCUUACCGUUUGCCAAUUGUUUGCAAGUCGAUCUACUAAAAGUAACUGUCACAUCUUGUUCAUCCUAGUCUGGAAGAAGCUAACAGUUUAUUAGAAGAAGUUACUGGUUCUUGUUUAUUCGUGUUAUAAGUGCUGUCUGUCGCACCUUGUUCAUCCUAGAUGAUGAAUUAAUGAUGUAACUGUUUUUGUGUCAUCCGUGAUGACUUAAUGAUGUAACAUUGAACGACACAUCCGUUCUCAAUGUUGUUUUUGCUGUUCUUUUUUCAUUUUUAUUUAAUAUAGUAUUCAGAGCA